This 497-nucleotide ribosomal RNA is filed under the name uncultured bacterium. Its description in RNAcentral is "partial 16S ribosomal RNA". It matches the Rfam family "Bacterial small subunit ribosomal RNA", at positions 28 to 507 of the family's 1533-position model. The record is from RNAcentral.
GACGAACGCUGGCGGCGUGCCUAAUACAUGCAAGUCGAGCGAAGAGGCUUGGUGCUUGCACCAAUUUGAAGAGCAGCGAACGGGUGAGUAACGCGUGGGGAACCUGCCUUUGAGCGGGGGACAACUUCUGGAAACGAAUGCUAAUACCGCAUAAUAACUUUAAACAUAAGUUUUAAGUUUGAAAGAUGCAAUUGCAUCACCUAAAGAUGAUCUCGCGUUGUAUUAGCCAGUUGGUGAGGUAAAGGCCCACCAAGGCGAAGAUACAUAACCGACCUGAGAGGGUGGUCGGGCACACUGGGAAUGGGACAACGCCCAAGCUUCUAAGGGGAGCAGCAGGAAGGGAACUUCGGGAAUGGGGGGAAGGCUGACCGGGCAACGCCGCGGGGGUGGAGGAGGGUUUCGGAUCGUAAAACUCUGUUGAUAGAGAAGAACGAUAGUGGGAGUGGAAAGCUCAUAAAGUGACGGUAACUACCCAGAAAGGGACGGCUAACUACGUG